Molecule: ribosomal RNA, 253 nt
Filed under: uncultured bacterium
Lineage: Bacteria
Description: partial 16S ribosomal RNA
Rfam family: Bacterial small subunit ribosomal RNA
Source: RNAcentral
UACGUAGGUGACAAGCGUUGUCCGGAUUUACUGGGCGUAAAGAGCGCGCAGGCGGUCGUUCAAGUCGAGUGUGAAAGCCCCCGGCUCAACUGGGGAGGGUCACUCGAUACUGAUCGACUCGAAGGCAGGAGAGGGAAGUGGAAUUCCCGGUGUAGUGGUGAAAUUCGUAGAUAUCAAGCAGAACACCUGCGGCGAAGGCGGCCUUCUGGACGAUGACUGACGCUGAGACGCGAAAGCGUGGGGAGCAAACAGG